GGGCCCAUAGCUCAGCGGUUAGAGCAGGCGACUCAUAAUCGUUUGGUCGUUGGUUCAAAUCCAACUGGGCCCACCA
RNAcentral lists this transfer RNA (76 nucleotides) under Verrucomicrobiales bacterium. RNAcentral's name for it is "tRNA-Ile". It matches the Rfam family "tRNA". From Rfam's summary of the family: Transfer RNA (tRNA) molecules are approximately 80 nucleotides in length. Their secondary structure includes four short double-helical elements and three loops (D, anti-codon, and T loops). The record is from RNAcentral. Lineage: Bacteria; Pseudomonadati; Verrucomicrobiota; Verrucomicrobiia; Verrucomicrobiales.